This 253-nucleotide ribosomal RNA is filed under the name uncultured prokaryote. RNAcentral describes it as "partial 16S ribosomal RNA". It matches the Rfam family "Bacterial small subunit ribosomal RNA", at positions 525 to 777 of the family's 1533-position model. The record is from RNAcentral.
ACGGAGGGGGCUAGCGUUGUUCGGAAUUACUGGGCGUAAAGCGCACGUAGGCGGCUUUGUAAGUUAGAGGUGAAAGCCCGGGGCUCAACUCCGGAAUUGCCUUUAAGACUGCAUCGCUAGAAUUGUGGAGAGGUAAGUGGAAUUCCGAGUGUAGAGGUGAAAUUCGUAGAUAUCGGGAGGAACACCUGCGGUGUAGACGGCUAUCUGGACGGCCACUGACGCUGAGACACGAAAGCGUGGGUAGCAAACAGGA